RNAcentral lists this long non-coding RNA (183 nucleotides) under Marmota monax (woodchuck). The record is from RNAcentral. Lineage: Eukaryota; Metazoa; Chordata; Mammalia; Rodentia; Sciuridae.
AAACAAGUCACCAGGCCCUUCAGAACAUGCCCAAAGUGCUCCGUGAUGUUGAAGCUCUUAAACAGGAGGCAUCUUUUCUAAAAGAACAAAUGAUUCUUGUCAAGGAAGACAUUAAAAAAUUUGAACAGGACACAUCGCAGUCGAUGCAGGUAUUUCGGCUCCUGCCCUAUGUGGGGAUUCUGG